UACGUAGGGGGCUAGCGUUGUCCGGAAUCAUUGGGCGUAAAGAGCGCGUAGGCGGCUGGAAUAGUCCGGUGUGAAAUCCACAGGCUUAACCUGUGAAUGCCGCUGGAAACUGUCUGGCUAGAGUCCGGAAGGGGCGAGUGGAAUUCCUGGUGUAGCGGUGAAAUGCGCAGAUAUCAGGAGGAACACCAAUGGCGAAGGCAGCUCGCUGGGACGGUACUGACGCUGAGGCGCGAAAGCUAGGGGAGCAAACAGG
Molecule: ribosomal RNA, 253 nt
Filed under: uncultured bacterium
Lineage: Bacteria
Description: partial 16S ribosomal RNA
Rfam family: Bacterial small subunit ribosomal RNA
Source: RNAcentral